Molecule: ribosomal RNA, 383 nt
Filed under: uncultured bacterium
Lineage: Bacteria
Description: bacterial SSU rRNA
Rfam family: Bacterial small subunit ribosomal RNA
Source: RNAcentral
UACGAAGGGGGCAAGCGUUGUUCGGAAUUACUGGGCGUAAAGGGCGCGUAGGCGGCCUUGUUUGUCAGGCGUGAAAGCCCUGGGCUCAACCCAGGAAUUGCGCUUGGGACGGCAAGGCUCGAGUUCGGGAGAGGAGAGUGGAAUUCCCAGUGUAGAGGUGAAAUUCGUAGAUAUUGGGAAGAACACCGGUGGCGAAGGCGGCUCUCUGGACCGAUACUGACGCUGAGGCGCGAAAGCGUGGGGAGCAAACAGGAUUAGAUACCCUGGUAGUCCACGCUGUAAACGAUGUGUGCUAGACGUUGGGAAGCCUAGCUUUCCGGUGUCGCAGCUAACGCGGUAAGCACACCGCCUGGGGAGUACGGCCGCAAGGUUAAAACUCAAAG